GGUUAACGCUGGCGGCGCGCCUGAUACAUGCAAGUCGAGCGAGGGCUCAUUUCUCGCAAGAGAGAUGGGUUCCUAGCGGCGAACGGGUGAGUAACACGUGGGCAACCUUUCCCAAAGUGGGGAUAACAUCGAGAAAUCGGUGCUAAUACCGCAUGUGGUCAUCGAAGACAUCUUUGAUAGAAAAAAGCAGCAAUGCGUCGUUUGGGGGUCGGGCCCGCGGCCUAUCAGCUUGUUGGUGGGGUAACGCCUACCAAGGCAUUGAC
This 263-nucleotide ribosomal RNA is filed under the name uncultured bacterium. RNAcentral's name for it is "partial 16S ribosomal RNA". It matches the Rfam family "Bacterial small subunit ribosomal RNA", at positions 28 to 280 of the family's 1533-position model. The record is from RNAcentral.